This 2312-nucleotide ribosomal RNA is filed under the name Eurycope glabra. Its description in RNAcentral is "bacterial SSU rRNA". It matches the Rfam family "Eukaryotic small subunit ribosomal RNA". The record is from RNAcentral. Lineage: Eukaryota; Metazoa; Arthropoda; Malacostraca; Isopoda; Munnopsidae.
GAUCCUGCCAGUAGUGAUAUGCUUGUCUCCAAAGAUUAAGCCAUGCAUGUCUGAGUCAGACCGAUCUAAGGUGAAACCGCGAAUGGCUCAUUAAAUCAGUCAUAAUUCCUUGGAUAGUGAUAAAACUUCCUCGGAUAACUGUGGAAAAUCCAGAGCUAAUACGUGCAACUGAGUUCCGACCUCGGCGCGAGCCUUGGGAAGAACGCAUUUAUUAAAUUCAAAACUGACCGGUGUACUCCUUCGGGAUGCGCCGUUCGUCAAAUGUUUGAUGAAUCCGGAUAAUUUAGCCGAGCGCUACGGUCUUUAGUACCGGCGCCGUAUCUUUCAAGUGUCUGCCUUAUCAGCUUUCGAUUGUAGGUUAAACGCCUACAAUGGCUGUAACGGGUAACGGGGAAUCAGGGUUCGAUUCCGGAGAGGGAGCCUGAGAAACGGCUACCACAUCUAAGGAAGGCAGCAGGCACGCAAAUUACCCACUCCCAGCCCGGGGAGGUAGUGACGAAAAAUAACGAUGCGAGACUCUUCCGAGGCCUCGCAAUCGGAAUGAGUUCAUUUUAAAACUUUGGACGAGGAUCCAUUGGAGGGCAAGUCUGGUGCCAGCAGCCGCGGUAAUUCCAGCUCCAAUAGCGUAUAUUAAAGUUGCUGCGGUUAAAAAGCUCGUAGUUGGACUUCCUAGAUCCAUUUCGCGAGCGAGUCGCUCGUUGAACUAGCUACGGAUGUCAGUUGUUGCGACAUACGGUUCGUUCCCGCGUCGCGCUUCUUCGAGACGUUCGUUUCGGAUUACGUUUAUAUUUCUUUCUUUCGGGAGAGUGUGUAUUCAUUUUUCGGAGCGUCCCUCGAUACGAGCGUGAUUAGCGUGGCUUAUCGAAAUCCAACGUACGGUCGGUGGUUGUCUUCGAGUAUUGCGCGUUCGCGUUUGGUACAAUUAAAAUUUUGUCGGCUCGCUCGGAGUGCUCUUUACCGAGUGUUCCAGGGUGGCCGACACGUUCACUUUGAAAAAAUUAGAGUGCUUAAAGCGGGCUAAAACAACGGCCUGAAUGUCUGUGCAUGGAAUGAAGUAACAGGACCUCGAUUCUGUUCUUUUUGUCGGUUUUAUUGAACCGAGGUAAUGAUUAAAAGGGACAGACGGUGGCAUUAGUAUUGCGGCGCUAGAGGUGAAAUUCUUGGACCGCUGCAAGACUAACUACUGCGAAAGCAUUUGCCGAGAAUGUUUUCAUUAAUCAAGAACGAAAGUUAGAGGAUCGAAGGCGAUCAGAUACCGCCCUAGUUCUAACCCUAAACUAUGCUAACUAGCGAUCCGCCGGAGUCAUUCCCACGACCCGGCGGGAAGCCCCAGGGAAACCAAAGUUUUUGAGUUCCGGGGGAAGUAUGGUUGCAAAGCUGAAACUUAAAGGAAUUGACGGAAGGGCACCACCAGGAGUGGAGCCUGCGGCUUAAUUUGACUCAACACGGGAAACCUCACCAGGCCCGGACAUUAUAAGGAUUGACAGGUUGAGAGCUCUUUCUCGAUUUAAUGGGUGGUGGUGCAUGGCCGUUCUUAGUUGGUGGAGUGAUCUGUCUGGUUGAUUCCGAUAACGAACGAGACUCUACCCUACUAACUAGUCGGCGGAUCGUAACCCUGAGAUGGUUAGUUUGUAUAGGUUGGUUUGUCCGAGUUGAGAUCGGUUCGGUCGUUCGUUCGCGAUGCUUUCUUUCUUUGUCGGGUUGAUUUGUGUUCGUCGGGACGCGUAUUUGGUUGGGGAAACGAGGGGAUUAUGUCUCUUCGCAAACCUCCGUUUACGUUUCUCUCGCGCGCAUUUUUUCUCGGCGGGGAGGGUGGUUCGUGUUGCGGCGUCGGGCUUCUCUUCGAAGCUGCCUUCUGAUUACUGCUACUGCUGGGGGCGUCCGUCGCAAUAUAUCUUCUUAGAGGGAUCAGCGGCGUAUAGCCGCACGAGAAAGAGCAAUAACAGGUCUGUGAUGCCCUUAGAUGUUCUGGGCCGCACGCGCGCUACAAUGUAGAGAUCAGCGUGCUUUCCCCUUCCGAAAGGAACGGGUAACCCGUUGAAACCCCUACCCGAUUGGGAUUGGGGAUUGCAAAUAUUUCCCAUAAACGAGGAAUUCCCAGUAAGCGCGAAUCAUUAAUUCGCGCUGAUUACGUCCCUGCCCUUUGUACACACCGCCCGUCGCUACUACCGAUUGAAUGAUUCAGUGAGGGCAUCGGACUGGCGCCUUCGGUUUAGUAACAUAGACCUUAGGCUGACGGAAAGAUGUCCGAACUUGAUCAUUUAGAGGAAGUAAAAGUCGUAACAAGGUUUCCGUAGGUGAACCUGGGGAAA